UUAAUUUAUUUAUAAAAAUCUAAAAUUAUCAUAUUUUAGGAUUAAAGUUUAUUUAUAAGUGAUUUUAUUCUCUACAUUUUGGAUGGCUAGAGAGAAGAGAAGA
Molecule: long non-coding RNA, 103 nt
Organism: Populus euphratica (Euphrates poplar)
Lineage: Eukaryota; Viridiplantae; Streptophyta; Magnoliopsida; Malpighiales; Salicaceae
Exons: 3
Source: RefSeq, a predicted model, not a curated record